GAGUUUGAUCCUGGCUCAGAAUGAACGCCGUUGGCACGCUUAACACAUGCAAGUCGAACGAGAUCUUCGGAUCUAGUGGCAGACGGGUGAGUAACGCGUGGGAACCUGCCCAGUAGUAGAGAAUAACUUGGGGAAACUUAAGCUAAUACUUUAUACGUCCUUCGGGAGAAAGCUUUAUGCGCUAUUGGAUGGGCCCGCGUUAGAUUAGUUUGUUGGUGAGGUAAUGGCUCACCAAGGCGACGAUCUAUAGCUGGUCUGAGAGGAUGAUCAGCCACACUGGGACUGAGACACGGCCCAGACUCCUACGGGAGGCAGCAGUGGGGAAUAUUGGACAAUGGGGGCAACCCUGAUCCAGCGAUGCCGCGUGAGUGAUGAAGGCCCUAGGGUUGUAAAACUCUUUCGUCAGGGAAGAUAAUGACGGUACCUGAAGAAGAAGAUCCGGCUAACUCCGUGCCAGCAGCCGCGGUAAUACGGAGGGGUCUAGCGUUAUUCGGAAUUACUGGGCGUAAAGCGAGCGUAGGCGGAUUUGUAAGUUGGAGGUGAAAUCCCAGAGCUUAACUCUGGAACUGCCUUCAAAACUACAUUUCUUGAGUUUGGUAGAGGAGAGUGGAAUUCCUAGUGUAGAGGUGAAAUUCGUAGAUAUUAGGAGGAACACCAGUGGCGAAGGCGACUCUCUGGGCCAAUACUGACGCUGAGGUUCGAAAGCAUGGGUAGCGAACAGGAUUAGAUACCCUGGUAGUCCAUGCA
RNAcentral lists this ribosomal RNA (747 nucleotides) under uncultured bacterium. Its description in RNAcentral is "bacterial SSU rRNA". It matches the Rfam family "Bacterial small subunit ribosomal RNA", at positions 9 to 801 of the family's 1533-position model. The record is from RNAcentral.